This 100-nucleotide non-coding RNA is filed under the name Lentilactobacillus curieae. RNAcentral describes it as "Lactobacillus curieae THF-I sequence". It matches the Rfam family "THF (Tetrahydrofolate) riboswitch aptamer". From Rfam's summary of the family: THF riboswitch presents a pseudoknot that joins P1-P2 and the loop of P3 and two THF binding. The record is from Rfam by way of RNAcentral. Lineage: Bacteria; Bacillati; Bacillota; Bacilli; Lactobacillales; Lactobacillaceae.
UUUGGGGUAGGAUAUAUCGCGUUAAGUGUCGGAGGAACGGAAUGUGAACUCCGAACGAAAAGUGAACUUCACUUGCGGUGCUAUAUUCGCAUUCACCAUU